CGCGGCCUAUCAGCUUGUUGGUGGGGUAAUGGCCUACCAAGGCGGCGACGGGUAUCCGGCCUGAGAGGGUGUACGGACACAUUGGGACUGAGAUACGGCCCAGACUCCUACGGGAGGCAGCAGUGGGGAAUAUUGCACAAUGGGCGCAAGCCUGAUGCAGCGACGCCGCGUGGGGGAUGAAGGCCUUCGGGUUGUAAACUCCUUUCGCUAUCGACGAAGCCACUUUGUGGUGACGGUAGGUAGAUAAGAAGCACCGGCUAACUACGUGCCAGCAGCCGCGGUAAUACGUAGGGUGCGAGCGUUGUCCGGAAUUACUGGGCGUAAAGAGCUCGUAGGUGGUUUGUCGCGUCGUCUGUGAAAACCUGCGGCUUAACCGUGGGCGUGCGGUGGAUACGGGCACACUUGAGUUCGGUAGGGGAGACUGGAAUUCCUGGUGUAGCGGUGGAAUGCGCAGAUAUCAGGAGGAACACCAGUGGCGAAGGCGGGUCUCUGGGCCGAAACUGACGCUGAGGAGCGAAAGCGUGGGGAGCGAACAGGAUUAGAUACCCUGGUAGUCCACGCCGUAGACGGUGGGCGCUAGGUGUGGGAUGCUGUUCACGUGUCCCGUGCCGUAGCUAACGCAUUAAGCGCCCCGCCUGGGGAGUACGG
This 648-nucleotide ribosomal RNA is filed under the name uncultured bacterium. RNAcentral describes it as "bacterial SSU rRNA". It matches the Rfam family "Bacterial small subunit ribosomal RNA", at positions 232 to 885 of the family's 1533-position model. The record is from RNAcentral.